AUGGCCGUCGUCAGUUCGUACUGUGAAGCAUCCUGUUAAGUCAGGCAACGAGCGAGACCCACGCCAACAGUUGCCAGCUCGUCCUCCGGGGAUGGUGGGGACACUGUUGGGACCGCCUCUGCUAAAGAGGAGGAAGGAAUGGGCAACGGUAGGUCAGCAUGCCCCGAAUUAUCUGGGCUACACGCGGGCUACAAUGGGUGGGACAAUGGGUAUCGACACCGAAAGGUGAAGGCAAUCUCCUAAACCCAUCCGUAGUUCGGAUUGUGGGCUGCAACUCGCCCACAUGGAGCUGGAAUCUGUAGUAAUCGUGUCUCAAAAUGGCACGGUGAAUAUGUCCCUGCUCCUU
Molecule: ribosomal RNA, 346 nt
Filed under: uncultured Methanomicrobiales archaeon
Lineage: Archaea; Methanobacteriati; Methanobacteriota; Methanomicrobia; Methanomicrobiales
Description: bacterial SSU rRNA
Rfam family: Archaeal small subunit ribosomal RNA
Source: RNAcentral